RNAcentral lists this transfer RNA (68 nucleotides) under Cyrtodactylus malayanus. RNAcentral describes it as "tRNA-Trp". Lineage: Eukaryota; Metazoa; Chordata; Lepidosauria; Squamata; Gekkonidae. The record is from RNAcentral.
AAGCUUACGUUAGACUAAACCAGAGGCCUUCAAAGCCCCAAACAAGAGCACACCCCCUCCUAGCUUCU